This 1278-nucleotide ribosomal RNA is filed under the name Pseudomictis brevicornis. RNAcentral describes it as "16S ribosomal RNA". The stretch from base 832 to 1204 matches the Rfam family "Bacterial large subunit ribosomal RNA", at positions 2073 to 2647 of the family's 2925-position model. Lineage: Eukaryota; Metazoa; Arthropoda; Insecta; Hemiptera; Coreidae. The record is from RNAcentral.
UUAUAAUUAGUAUAUUGUUUGUUUUAUUAUUUAUUAAACUUUUAUAAGAAGCAACUUGUUUGUUAGUAAAUUUUAUUGAACUCGUUAUUAUUUUACUAUAGUUUAUUAUUACUGUAAAGGAAUUUUUUUAAUUAAAUAAAAGUAGAUUUUUUUUGUUGUACCUUUUGUAUCAGGGUUUAUCAAUUUUAAAUUAAUAAUUAUUAAUUUUCCCGAAAUUAAAAGAGAUAUAUAUUAAAUGAAAUUUUACGUAUUAAAGUGAUUUUUAAUUUGUAUAUAGAGGUUAUAUGCUAUUCAAUUUUAAAUAUCUGGUUUUCUAAUAUAUUAAUUUAAUUAAGAUUAUUGUUAAGUUAUUAUAUAAUUUUAUUUUUUUUAAUUACAAUAAUUAAGUUUAUGAGGGAUAAGCUUUAUAAAUAUUUUAUAACUUUUUAUUCUAAUAAAAUCUUGUAGGCUUAGUAACAGCCAUCAUUUAUUUCGUUACAGUUAACUUUUAUUUUAUAUUUAUUUAUUUGGGUUUAAAUUUUUAUUAGAAAUUUUUAUUUAAUUUUUUAUUAUAAGUAAAAAUGAUAAAAUUAGUAGUUUUGUAUAUUUGAGUAUAGGAAUUCGGCAAUUUUUAUUUCCGCCUGUUUAACAAAAACAUGUCCUUUAGAGUAUAAUUAUAGGUCUGGCCUGCCCAGUGAUAAAACUUAAACGGCCGCAGUAUUUUGACUGUGCGAAGGUAGCAUAAUCAUUUGUCUUUUAAUUGAAGGCUAGUAUGAAGGGUUGGACGAGAAAUAAACUUUCUUUACUUAAAUUUUAUGAAUUUUAUUUUUGAGUUAAAAAGCUUAAAUGUUUUUGCUAGACGAGAAGACCCUAUAGAAUUUUAUUAAAUUUAUUAUGUUUAUUGUUUGGUUAAGUAAUUGAUUUAAUAUAAUUGAUUUAAUUUUGUUGGGGCGACAAUGAAAAUUAAAUAACUUUCAUUUAUUAUUAUUCAUUAAUUAAUGUAAUUUUUGAUCCUUUAUUAUGGAUUAAGAGAUUAAAUUACCUUAGGGAUAACAGCGUAAUUUUUUCGGAGAGUUCUUAUCGAUGAAUAAAGUUUGCGACCUCGAUGUUGGAUUAAAAUUAGUUUUGGGUGCAGCAGCUCAUUAUAACUAAGUCUGUUCGACUUUUAAAUUUUUACAUGAUCUGAGUUCAGACCGGCGUGAGCCAGGUUGGUUUCUAUCUGCAAUAGAUAUAAAUUAUAUUUUAGUACGAAAGGACCGAAUAUAAAUAAUAAUUAUAUAUUUAAUUGAUUAUUAUUAA